Long non-coding RNA from Pezoporus flaviventris, 207 nucleotides. RefSeq lists it as uncharacterized. The transcript is spliced from 3 exons. The record is from RefSeq and is a predicted model, not a curated record. NCBI's taxonomy places the organism in Eukaryota, Metazoa, Chordata, Aves, Psittaciformes, Psittacidae.
AAAAAUUGACUUAACAGAAAAAAACGUGAAUUGUGGGAAAAGGCUGGAUCAGAAUCAGAAGCAUCAGUCUUUCUGGUGGCUCUUGACCUGCUGGUUUCUCAGGCAUGCUCACAGGGACACAUUCCUAAGGAUUGAUGGUCUUACAUGUGGUAAUCCUGGUGAACUGCCAUGGCCAGGACUCGGGGAUAAGAUAUUAAUGGGUUUGGA